This 3703-nucleotide long non-coding RNA is filed under the name Olea europaea (common olive). RNAcentral's name for it is "long non-coding RNA (OEUR_LNC008924)". Lineage: Eukaryota; Viridiplantae; Streptophyta; Magnoliopsida; Lamiales; Oleaceae. The record is from RNAcentral.
AUCAUUCAUCUUAUACAUCUCAUCACUUGGCUUAGCAAAAUGACUCCAAAUAUUGAGAAACACUUCCUUUCUAUUAUAUUCUUGAGAAACAUAAACCCAUGCUCGGUUAUAGAAUUCAUAUUCAAUUUUAGGAUCACGAUAUAUCAUUUUUGCCAGUGUUGUCUUUCCAAGGCCAGGCAUGCCAAUAAUUGAUAUAACUUCGAGUUCAUCAGGUCCUCCCAUGAGUAGAUUAGUAACAGUUUUUGCCUCAUCUUCAAAUCCCACCACAUUGUCUUCCUCUACAAUGGGAGCCUAUAUUAUAGUGAAAAAUGUUUAUUUCAGAAUCACAAAUAAUUAAAGAAUUGAUUUAAGGUUGUUCAUCUAAUUCUACUCAAUAUCUGAAAUAUCUAAAAGAUGAGUUCCUACCUUUUAGCUGGUGUCAUUUGAGAAUUUCAGAAAGUUCUCAGUUAUACAUUUCGGAAAAAUUUUACGCACUAGACUACAAAUAAGUUUCAAUAGUAUGCAAGAUAAUAGCAAGAAAACUCCUGCCUGCAGAACUUGUUAUCUUGGACUUCUACUUCGUACAACAGAAUUCAGAAUCACAUUAAGGAAUAUGAUUCAUGUCCAUACUUAGCGAUGGAGCAUGUAAAAAGAUAAGUUUUAUGUACAUUCAGAAAAAAGAAACUUGGAAAUCCUAACAAUUGUUUGACAUACCAGUUUAGUAAUAAAAAGGAAAGUUUUUUAUGGUGCACCAAUUUUGAAGAAUUAAUUCAAUCUGGAUCUUCAUAUAAAAUUUUGCUCCUUGAGUUCUCAAUGGUAGUACAAUUAUGAAGCCAGGAGAGUAACUAGAUUAAAAAAUGUUUUACCUGUGAAGGAAGCAUUUUUGAGCUCGAAGGAAUGGAGGUCAUUGAUCUGGAGGAUAAACGGAGAGCUUAAAUACAAUGCCUUUGUUGCCUUGCUUCUCAGCCUCAUCUUUCAUCGUUUUCUUAUACUGCUGGAUUUUCCGGGCAGAAGCAGCAGCUGAUUUGGUGGUACAGUACAAGUCAAUUAUCUGGAGGCUUAAAACAUCUGCAAGGCUGACUGGGACUGCUUCGAGGCUAGUGCAGUGUUUAAGAUAAAGACUCCUGAGUCUUGGGAAGUGAUGAGUCAAAGCAUGCCAAUGAACUAAAUCUGUCCUUCCAAUAAACAAGACUUUGAGAGCACGGAAACCUCCAUCCUCCGGCUGCCACCACUCUCCCUUAAAUGCAUUGUCUUUCAACUUUAGGAUCUCAAGGCUUUCCAACAUUCCCAAUGUAGCCAUUUGACUCCAAUCAAGAAGGGUGUCUGCCAGUGUUAGUUUCUUUAGCUUUGGUGGAAAUUUAUACCUUUGGGGAAGGCCAGCUAGUUUGCCUUCCGAAGGAGGCAAAGGAAAUACAUCAUUUAAUAGCUUCAAAUUUUCAAGGUAAUCCAAUUUUCCCAGGCUAUCAAACAAACUCGACACACCUUUGGGUUCCAAAAGUUUAGCUAAUUUGCCACGAAUACCCAAUUUCUUUAGGUUUGGAGCUCUGGCAAAUACAUCUUCUGUACAACUUUCAGGUGAGAUUGUAGAAAUUGUUUUUAGGUUAGCAUUUAUCAGGGAAUCAUCUUUACUUUUUCUUGAUUUAGCAAGAGGACCAUGUAAAAAUGUGGAUGCAUUUGUUUUUAGAUGCCUCAGUUGUAUCAUCUUCCAUAUAUCUCCUUUGAUUUCAAGGGUUCGUUCUGAAGUCUCAACUAUAAGAGUUUGCAUGUUCCAAAGGCUAGAAAUGGGAGAAGGAAGGAUCUUGAAAUUGCUGGACAGAACAAGAUACCUCAAAUGAACGAGUUGAGCUAGAUCAGUAGGAAAACGAGUGAAAAAAAUGGGUUUAGCAUCUAAAACCCUGAGCAAUUUAAAUGCUCCAGGGAUGGAGGAAGUGUGUUCAGCUUGCAGAAUAAUUUCUUCAGAAGAGAAACACAAGAAAGACCGAACACGUGGACCAAAUGGUUUUGAAGAGAUAUAACUCCAAACACGGGAAUGAAUGCAAAGGCGACGAUACGAUUCCAAGUAAGGAUUGGAAGACGAAUAGGUAACUUGAUCAAACCGUUUAAUUUCUUGGAAGAAGUUUUCCUCUGCAGCUUGAUUCUUGCAGAACACGUGUAGCAUGUCAUGAACAUGGCAUGUUUUAACUUUUCCAUUUGACCUCCGUUCUCCAACCAUGACUAAAUUCCUGUUGACAAGAUCGUCUAAGUACUCCUCCGCAAUAUCCUCCAAGCUCAUUCCCUCCUUUUGUUGUAUGAAUCCUUCAGCGAUCCACAGGCGAACCAAUUUCCACACUGGGAUUUGGCAAUCUUCUGGAAACAUCCCGAAGUAGAGAAAGCAUGCUCUCAAGUAAUAAGGUAAGUGAUUAAAACUCAAAGUUAUAAAACUGUCCAUACGUUUCUCCUGAUCCAUGGCAAUAUAUGCAUCCACACUUUGAGCAACCUUAUCCCACCAAUAACUUUCAGUACCUUUUUCCAGUAGAAUUCCUCCAAUCACCACUAGAGCAAGUGGAAGUCCACCACAUUCUCUGGCUAUAUGCUUUCCAGGUUGUAACAACUCAUCAGGACAUUCCUCUCCGCCAAGUGCCUUCCUUUGGAGCAAUGUCCAACUCUCAUCCGAAGUUAGAAAACGCAAAUUAUGGGGCUCCCUGUUGGGGUUGGCAUGCACAGCCACUCUCCUGAUACGACUAGUCAGUAAUAUUUUGCUUCGCUUCUUAUUUCUGGGAAAAGCAAUUUUGAGAUCAUUCCAGGCAUCUUCAGUCCAGACAUCAUCCAUGACAAUUAAAUACUUCCCUUUCUCCAGGAAUUCACGAAGUUCCUUAGCUAUUUUUUCAUCAUUCAUCUUAUACAUCUCAUCACUUGGCUUAGCAAAAUGACUCCAAAUAUUGAGAAACACUUCCUUUCUAUUAUAUUCUUGAGAAACAUAAACCCAUGCUCGGUUAUAGAAUUCAUAUUCAAUUUUAGGAUCACGAUAUAUCAUUUUUGCCAGUGUUGUCUUUCCAAGGCCAGGCAUGCCAAUAAUUGAUAUAACUUCGAGUUCAUCAGGUCCUCCCAUGAGUAGAUUAGUAACAGUUUUUGCCUCAUCUUCAAAUCCCACCACAUUGUCUUCCUCUACAAUGGGAGCCUAUAUUAUAGUGAACAACAAUCAUAUCAGAAUUCCGAAAAACAAGGUGCCAAUAGAGAUCGGAAUGCAUUCAAGACUGUACAAAACAAGAUUAAUUGUAAACUCUUCACAAGAAAAUAUCUGCGAUGAAAUAUCUCUAUCCAUGUCUAUAAAUUAAUCUAUAACUAUUUCAUAAUCCUCUAACAAUAUUUAGUUCUGCAUUUCAUUCGACAAUAGACUAUGAAAGCCUGUCAAAGGCUCUGGGAUUAGUAACCAAAAAAUAAAAAUGAAAAUAAAAAUAAAAGGAAUCUAACAUUUAUAUGACAAAGGACAGUUAAUCAGAUCCUUCAAAAUUAGUGAUAAACCAAUCAAUCCUAGAAACAUCAAACACGAUUGAAGAUUGUAUUGACUUUUGGUCAACCCAAUUUUUGUUGUCAAUGAAGUAUCCAGUUUUCAUGAUUUUCACUAGUAGAGGCAAUACUAAAAAUACUAAUACCAAGAUCCACUCAAGAUUAAGUACCAGACAACAGAGAAAUUUUACAUAAUACCAACUUAUAAGCUAACCCAGCAAUAUAGCUCUAAAAUAAC